AUGAAUUUCAAAUACUUUAAUGACUUAUAUAAUUUAUGAUUGAUGUAAAAAUAAAGUGCAUAUUGAAUGUUGAAUUUUGUAGAACUUGUGUAAUAGGUUGUUGCAAAAAGUAUGACACCAAGUUAUUGUUCUCAUUGCAAUAAAUAAAACCGUUUUUCUUGCAUAUCUAAAAAGUCGUACUUUUACAUGUUUGGUUGUAAAUCAAUCAAAAUUUCUCAAUUAUUCAUUGUGUAGCUAAGGUGCCAAGUAGCCAAAGAAUUGGUAAAAUUAAAAAGUAGGUGUCAAUAGAGUCAUGUAAGAAUGGAGUAUAAUCUUGUUCAAUGUUAGAAGAUAUCACUAUGUAGUUGACAUAACAAAAAAGCUUAAAAAAAAAUUGUAAU
Molecule: long non-coding RNA, 380 nt
Filed under: Physcomitrium patens
Lineage: Eukaryota; Viridiplantae; Streptophyta; Bryopsida; Funariales; Funariaceae
Description: long non-coding RNA (PPAT_LNC011119)
Source: RNAcentral